CCUACGGGUGGCUGCAGUGGGGAAUAUUGGACAAUGGGGGAAACCCUGAUCCAGCAAUGCCGCGUGGGUGAAGAAGGCCUGCGGGUUGUAAAGCCCAAACAACCCGAAAAUUUAACUCACUAAAGAAGCCCCGGCUAACUCUGUGCCAGCAGCCGCGGUAAUACAGAGGGUGCGAGCGUUAAUCGGAAUUACUGGGCGUAAAGCGCACGUAGGUGGUUGGAUAAGUUGGAUGUGAAAUCCCUGAGCGUAACGUGGGAAUUGCAUUCAAGACUGUCUUGCUAGAGUGUGGAAGAGGGAAGCGGAAUUCCGGUGUAGCGGUGAAAUGCGUAGAUAUCUGGAGGAACAUCAGUGGCGAAGGCAGCUUCCUGGUCCAAACUGACACUGAGGUGCGAAAGCGUGGGGAGCAAACAGGAUUAGAUACCCUAGUAGUC
RNAcentral lists this ribosomal RNA (431 nucleotides) under uncultured bacterium. RNAcentral describes it as "partial 16S ribosomal RNA". It matches the Rfam family "Bacterial small subunit ribosomal RNA", at positions 338 to 795 of the family's 1533-position model. The record is from RNAcentral.